GAUGAACGCUGGCGGCGUGCCUAAUACAUGCAAGUCGAGCGAACGGACGAGAAGCUUGCUUCUCUGAUGUUAGCGGCGGACGGGUGAGUAACACGUGGAUAACCUACCUAUAAGACUGGGAUAACUUCGGGAAACCGGAGCUAAUACCGGAUAAUAUUUUGAACCGCAUGGUUCAAAAGUGAAAGACGGUCUUGCUGUCACUUAUAGAUGGAUCCGCGCUGCAUUAGCUAGUUGGUAAGGUAACGGCUUACCAAGGCAACGAUGCAUAGCCGACCUGAGAGGGUGAUCGGCCACACUGGAACUGAGACACGGUCCAGACUCCUACGGGAGGCAGCAGUAGGGAAUCUUCCGCAAUGGGCGAAAGCCUGACGGAGCAACGCCGCGUGAGUGAUGAAGGUCUUCGGAUCGUAAAACUCUGUUAUUAGGGAAGAACAUAUGUGUAAGUAACUGUGCACAUCUUGACGGUACCUAAUCAGGAAGCCACGGCUAACUACGUGCCAGCAGCCGCGGUAAUACGUAGGUGGCAAGCGUUAUCCGGAAUUAUUGGGCGUAAAGCGCGCGUAGGCGGUUUUUUAAGUCUGAUGUGAAAGCCCACGGCUCAACCGUGGAGGGUCAUUGGAAACUGGAAAACUUGAGUGCAGAAGAGGAAAGUGGAAUUCCAUGUGUAGCGGUGAAAUGCGCAGAGAUAUGGAGGAACACCAGUGGCGAAGGCGACUUUCUGGUCUGUAACUGACGCUGAUGUGCGAAAGCGUGGGGAUCAAACAGGAUUAGAUACCCUGGUAGUCUACGCCGUAAACGAUGAGUGCUAAGUGUUAGGGGGUUUCCGCCCCUUAGUGCUGCAGCUAACGCAUUAAGCACUCCGCCUGGGGAGUACGACCGCAAGGUUGAAACUCAAAGGAAUUGACGGGGACCCGCACAAGCGGUGGAGCAUGUGGUUUAAUUCGAAGCAACGCGAAGAACCUUACCAAAUCUUGACAUCCUUUGACAACUCUAGAGAUAGAGCUUUCCCCUUCGGGGGACAAAGUGACAGGUGGUGCAUGGUUGUCGUCAGCUCGUGUCGUGAGAUGUUGGGUUAAGUCCCGCAACGAGCGCAACCCUUAAGCUUAGUUGCCAUCAUUAAGUUGGGCACUCUAAGUUGACUGCCGGUGACAAACCGGAGGAAGGUGGGGAUGACGUCAAAUCAUCAUGCCCCUUAUGAUUUGGGCUACACACGUGCUACAAUGGACAAUACAAAGGGCAGCGAAACCGCGAGGUCAAGCAAAUCCCAUAAAGUUGUUCUCAGUUCGGAUUGUAGUCUGCAACUCGACUACAUGAAGCUGGAAUCGCUAGUAAUCGUAGAUCAGCAUGCUACGGUGAAUACGUUCCCGGGUCU
RNAcentral lists this ribosomal RNA (1372 nucleotides) under uncultured bacterium. Its description in RNAcentral is "bacterial SSU rRNA". It matches the Rfam family "Bacterial small subunit ribosomal RNA", at positions 28 to 1381 of the family's 1533-position model. The record is from RNAcentral.